Long non-coding RNA from Frieseomelitta varia, 2723 nucleotides. RefSeq lists it as uncharacterized. Lineage: Eukaryota; Metazoa; Arthropoda; Insecta; Hymenoptera; Apidae. The record is from RefSeq and is a predicted model, not a curated record. The transcript has 6 exons.
CGUGUGACUAAAAAUGAAAACACUGUGUACAUUGUUCUGCUUGAUAUUUGCUUUUAAAAUUUAUUUAGACAUACACACAUGUACUUCUCUCUUCGAAUCCUCAAACGUUACAAUAUAAGGUUGAAACAAACGUCAAUAAUUCAAAAAAAUUAGACUACAUGAUAUUGUCAAAAGUAUAAUGUAAAAAAUAUAGGAGGAUCUAGUUGAAGAAAGACAAAUGUCCUUAGGAGCACAAUUAAGAAAUGUAGCCCAAGCAGAUGCAGACAUCUACAUUUUUAUAAAUUGUACAUGAGAAUCAAAUCAACAAGAAAAAGGAAAAGAAGCACGACUCACCAGUCUUACCUCAACAAAACGACAAACAAAAUUCCCAAACACGACAAGUGUACAAGACACAACGUUCGCCGCAGCCGUCUUGAGAUUUGAUGGCUCUUCGAAGAGGACGAACGGUAGUAGAAAGUACAGUAAAAUCGACGCGUGAUUCGAAAGAGACACCUGCACGAGACUGGAAGCUCGCCAAAUAACUGAUAGCGUAGGCGUUGUACCUUCGAAGACGACGUCGAACGACCAAAGUCGAGAGGGGGUGAAGCUUCCCUGUUCUUCUUGUUCCAUUGGUCGGGAACCGAUUGUGCGAUUUGUGUCUUCCUCCUCUCCUGUCUCCAGCUAUUCCCGAUCGUUCGCAUUGUCGGCAUUAACGAGUUACCACCUUCCGGUCAGCAAGGCGUUAAUGAAGAUCUUUUGUAGGAGCAAAGCUGCGAAUUGUUGCACCGGUCGAGUCGUCAUCGGUUGUCCCGAUUUGGAGACGUGGCUUGAAUAAGAAGAUUCGUCAUACCAACAUGAUGGAUAUCUGCCAUGGGGAUUUCAGACGUUUUCAAUUCACAAGUUAUGAUCGUUGGAUUCGUUGGAUCGACUUGUCAAACUCUGUCACGUCGAGUCACAAUGAAAGUUCAACCUGUGCCACAUCGGAUAUUCCAGGCGACGAUGUGUCUUCAAGUAAAUACACGUCAGAAAAUUACAGUGAACUCGCGAAAUUGCAGAGAUUCGAUGGAACGGAGCAACGACCUCGGGAAUUGCGAUUCCACGCAUGACCAGCCGGAAGUGCGUCGAAAAAGAGGGCGUAAAAGACCUACUUCCUAAGAAGAGGAUGAAUAUAGACAACUAUAGAAAGCAUUCCACUGGGUGGAGGGCUCGAUCACGAGCGAAGGAUCCUUCGGUUCUCCGUGACUUCCGGUUCUUAGUAUCGCGCGGCGAUGCUACGCGCGUGUGCACGCCAACGCGGUGACCGGAUAUGGCUGGAAGAACCGACUGACCAAAUCGUUCAACGAAGAACCGUCGCCUCGUGUAUCAAGCUUUUCAUGCGGAUCACGCGUUCCCCUGUACCAAAUACCAAGCUUUUAUCGGUGACAUCAUACUUUGCGCUGUGUGCACGUACACCUACCUGUGCGCCGGCGUGUACAGGUGAACGUGUGACAAAGUAUACAGUUGGAUGGUCGAUUACAUGUAUGUACAAGAUAGGUGAUUUACAAAAAACGAGGUCUGCCAUGAACAGAUUAUUGUAUUCGAGAGAUUAGUAAUAUCCCAAGUGGUAACUUUGAGUCUUUUUUUUUUUAUAAACAUAUAGGAGUCUAGAAAUAUCUGAUUGAAGAGAACAGAAUUGAAAAAAGGAAAAUUAUAAAAGGACAAUCUUGAGUAUUAAACGAGUAUUAAACCAAUGAUCACAAAAAUUGUAAAAGCUGAUAAUACUGAUGGAUUCUAAGGACAAACACAAAAGUGACAUAUUAGGAGAACAAAAGGAAAAAGACGAGCAAGCAGAGAGAGAAAGAGAGAGAGAGAGAGAAAAGGUCCCAUUCGUAGCCCCAUCGAGAUUUUCCUUCUGCUCUUCCUUUGUCACGACGCUCACGUGACGAAGCCGGCAAUACGGAGAAGAGAGAAAAGAAUCCAGAGAAGAAUAAUUAAUCAGCAAGCAAAUCACGUACACAAGGAUGCAUAUAUAAGACCAUAGAACGUCGUGUACUUACACAAACGAACGAAAGGAACGGACGUACGCGUGUGGACCCUGCGUGUACACACCUUCCAUACUUCCAUCCGGUUCUAGAUUAUUCGGAUGCCUAAUUUUGUCCUCGCAGAAAAAUCGACCAGUGGAAGUACAUACGCAAACUGUCAUGUGAACGAACAAAAUAAAUUGCUCUAUACUUGAAAUUUUCGAGCACCUUCGUUGCCUUGAUAAUAAAUGGAAUACGACAGCUGUUGGUGCUUGUGGAUAUUGAAGAGUUAAGAUAAUGGAAACUGAAACGCUAGAGAAAUAUGAAGAAUCAUGAAAGAGUCGCUAGAAUUCGAGCUUCCGAUCGGCGAAGUCUCGCGAAUCACCCCCGCGACUGAAGAAAGGAGCGAAAGGCAGCAACGAAAGGAAGAAUUUCGAAGGAAGUAGGCCGUGCAAAUGAGGAGUCGCCUGUCGAGUUGCUCUAAAACUAAAAAAAGAAAAAAAAGAAUCUGGUUGCUAAUUGAAGAACAAGCAGGCAUAGUUCAAUCUGGCUUUCUGCUUGAAAAAUCGCAACGUCAACAAUCUCACUUGGCCACGCAAUUAUGUUUUCAGGAGGUGGCAGGAACGAGGAGAUAAAGAGGGAGAGACAGAAAGAGAAAGAGAAAGAGGUGCAGGAGGAGGAGGAGGAAAGAUUUGAGAUUUUAAAGAAGUUUUCAGGAGGUGGCAGGAACGAUGAGAGAAAGAA